AUUGAACGCUGGCGGUAUGCCUUACACAUGCAAGUCGAACGGUAGAGGAGCAAUCCUCGAGAGUGGCGAACGGGUGAGUAAUACAUCGGAACGUGCCCAGUCGUGGGGGACAACGUAGCGAAAGCUACGCUAAUACCGCAUACGACCCGAGGGUGAAAGCGGGGGACUCGCAAGAGCCUCGCGCGAUUGGAGCGGCCGAUGGCAGAUUAGGUAGUUGGUGGGGUAAAGGCCCACCAAGCCUGCGAUCUGUAGCUGGCCUGAGAGGACGACCAGCCACACUGGGACUGAGACACGGCCCAGACUCCUACGGGAGGCAGCAGUGGGGAAUUUUGGACAAUGGGCGAAAGCCUGAUCCAGCCAUACCGCGUGCGGGAAGAAGGCCUCGG
Molecule: ribosomal RNA, 386 nt
Filed under: uncultured bacterium
Lineage: Bacteria
Description: bacterial SSU rRNA
Rfam family: Bacterial small subunit ribosomal RNA
Source: RNAcentral